GACGAACGCUGGCGGCGUGCUUAACACAUGCAAGUCGAACGGAAAGACCCUGCUUUUGUGGGGUGCUCGAGUGGCGAACGGGUGAGUAACACGUGAGUAACCUGCCCUUGACUUUGGGAUAACUUCAGGAAACUGGGGCUAAUACCGGAUAGGAGCUCCUGCUGCAUGGUGGGGGUUGGAAAGUUUCGGCGGUUGGGGAUGGACUCGCGGCUUAUCAGCUUGUUGGUGGGGUAGUGGCUUACCAAGGCUUUGACGGGUAGCCGGCCUGAGAGGGUGACCGGUCACAUUGGGACUGAGAUACGGCCCAGACUCCUACGGGAGGCAGCAGUGGGGAAUAUUGCACAAUGGGCGGAAGCCUGAUGCAGCAACGCCGCGUGCGGGAUGACGGCCUUCGGGUUGUAAACCGCUUUCGCCUGUGACGAAGCGUGAGUGACGGUAAUGGGUAAAGAAGCACCGGCUAACUACGUG
RNAcentral lists this ribosomal RNA (468 nucleotides) under uncultured bacterium. RNAcentral's name for it is "partial 16S ribosomal RNA". It matches the Rfam family "Bacterial small subunit ribosomal RNA", at positions 28 to 507 of the family's 1533-position model. The record is from RNAcentral.